Molecule: ribosomal RNA, 333 nt
Filed under: uncultured methanogenic archaeon
Lineage: Archaea; Methanobacteriati; Methanobacteriota
Description: bacterial SSU rRNA
Rfam family: Archaeal small subunit ribosomal RNA
Source: RNAcentral
CUGGGGUAUCCCCCAUAGGUCUCGGUGGCUGGAAUGCCCCCAAAUUCAAAGGUCCGCCGCCACAGGAUGGGUCUGCGGCCUAUUAGGUUGUUGUGGGUGUAACGGACCUACUAGCCUUUGAUCGGUACGGGUUGUGAGAGCAAGAGCCCGGAGAUGGAUUCUGAGACACGAAUCCAGGCCCUACGGGGUGCAGCAGGCGCGAAAACUUUACAAUGCCAGAAAUCGUGAUAAGGGAACCCCGAGUGCCCGGAUAUUCGGGCUGUCCUCCUGUGCCCAAAACUGGUGAACAAAGAACCGGGCGGGACCGAUGCCUGCCACCGCCGUAAUACAAAU